UACGUAGGGGGCUAGCGUUGUUCGGAAUUACUGGGCGUAAAGCGCACGUAGGCGGAUAUUUAAGUCAGGGGUGAAAUCCCAGAGCUCAACUCUGGAACUGCCUUUGAUACUGGGUAUCUGGAGUAUGGAAGAGGUGAGUGGAAUUCCGAGUGUAGAGGUGAAAUUCGUAGAUAUUCGGAGGAACACCAGUGGCGAAGGCGGCUCACUGGUCCAUUACUGACGCUGAGGUGCGAAAGCGUGGGGAGCAAACAGG
Molecule: ribosomal RNA, 253 nt
Filed under: uncultured bacterium
Lineage: Bacteria
Description: partial 16S ribosomal RNA
Rfam family: Bacterial small subunit ribosomal RNA
Source: RNAcentral